AAGUCGUAACAAGGUUUCCGUAGGUGAACCUGCGGAAGGAUCAUUAACGAAUUGUAAUAACAAGGUUGUCGCUGGCUCUCUCUGGGAGCAUGUGCACGCCUCGUUUAAACUCUUCAUCCUUAACCUCCUGUGCACCCUUUGUGGAUCGUGGAUGGAUAAUUCUCGAGUUAACGCUCGGUUUUGGCGAUUGCGCCUAACACGCGCUCUCUCCUACAUCUCUUCGCGGUUCAUGUUUUUCUACACACUACAUAUAUAACCUAGAAUGCUUCAAAGUUGGGACUUUAGUGACCCUUCUUAAAUUAAAUACAACUUUCAACAACGGAUCUCUUGGCUCUC
RNAcentral lists this unclassified non-coding RNA (336 nucleotides) under air metagenome. RNAcentral describes it as "partial contains small subunit ribosomal RNA, internal transcribed spacer 1, and 5.8S ribosomal RNA". The stretch from base 1 to 46 matches the Rfam family "Eukaryotic small subunit ribosomal RNA", at positions 1786 to 1831 of the family's 1831-position model. The record is from RNAcentral.